GACGAACGCUGGCGGCGUGCUUAACACAUGCAAGUCGAACGGAAAGGCCCUGCUUUUGUGGGGUGCUUGAGUGGCGAACGGGUGAGUAACACGUGAGUAACCUGCCCUUGACUUUGGGAUAACUUCAGGAAACUGGGGCUAAUACCGGAUAGGAGCUCCUGCUGCAUGGUGUGUGUUGGAAAGUUUCGGCGGUUGGGGAUGGACUCGCGGCUUAUCAGCUUGUUGGUGGGGUAGUGGCUUACCAAGGCUUUGACGGGUAGCCGGCCUGAGAGGGUGACCGGCCACAUUGGGACUGAGAUACGGCCCAGACUCCUACGGGAGCCAGCAGUGGGGAAUAUUGCACAAUGGGCGGAAGCCUGAUGCAGCAACGCCGCGUGCGGGAUGACGGCCUUCGGGUUGUAAACCGCUUUCGCCUGUGACGAAGAGUGAGUGACGGUAAUGGGUAAAGAAGCACCGGCUAACUACGUG
Molecule: ribosomal RNA, 468 nt
Filed under: uncultured bacterium
Lineage: Bacteria
Description: partial 16S ribosomal RNA
Rfam family: Bacterial small subunit ribosomal RNA
Source: RNAcentral